UACAGAGGGGGCAAGCGUUGUUCGGAAUUACUGGGCGUAACGGGCGCGUAGGCGGCCUUCUAAGUCGAACGUGAAAUCCCCGGGCUCAACCCGGGAACUGCGUCCGAUACUGGAAGGCUUGAAUCCGGGAGAGGGAUGUGGAAUUCCAGGUGUAGCGGUGAAAUGCGUAGAUAUCUGGAGGAACACCGGUGGCGAAGGCGACAUCCUGGACCGGUAUUGACACUGAGGCGCGAAAGCCAGGGGAGCAAACGGG
Molecule: ribosomal RNA, 253 nt
Filed under: uncultured bacterium
Lineage: Bacteria
Description: partial 16S ribosomal RNA
Rfam family: Bacterial small subunit ribosomal RNA
Source: RNAcentral